This 468-nucleotide ribosomal RNA is filed under the name uncultured bacterium. RNAcentral's name for it is "partial 16S ribosomal RNA". It matches the Rfam family "Bacterial small subunit ribosomal RNA", at positions 28 to 507 of the family's 1533-position model. The record is from RNAcentral.
GACGAACGCUGGCGGCGUGCUUAACACAUGCCAGUCGAACGGCAAGGCCCUGCUUUUGUGGGGUGCUCGAGUGGCGAACGCGUGAGUAACACGUGAGUAACCUGCCCUUGACUUUGGGAUAACUUCAGGAAACUGGGGUUAAUCUCGGAUAGGAGCCCCUCCUCCAUGGUGGGGGUUGGAAAGUCUCGGCAGUCGCGGUUGGAUUGGCGGCUUAUCAGUUAGUUGGUGGGCGAGUGGCUUACCGAGGGUUUGACGGGUAGCCGGCCUGAGAGGGUGAACGGCCACAAUGGGACUGAGGGACGGAGCAGUGGCGUACGGGGGGCAGCAGUGGCGAAUAUUGCACAGUGAGCGGAAGUGUGAGACGGCAACGCCGGGGGCGUAAAGACGGUCUUCGGGUAGUGAACCGCUGUCGCCUGUGACGAAGCGGGAGUGACGGUAAUGAGUAAAGAAGCACCGGCUAACUACGUG